UAAAAGGGGGAAUAUUCCCCCUUUUAAAGAUCUUUAAAAGGGGGAAUAUUUCAUAUUCUUUAAAAGGGGGAAUAUUUAAUAUUCCCCCUUUUAAAGAUCUUUAAAAGGGGGAAUAUCGCGA
Paramuricea clavata is the source of this 121-nucleotide non-coding RNA. The record is from the annotation of a GenBank genome assembly. Lineage: Eukaryota; Metazoa; Cnidaria; Anthozoa; Malacalcyonacea; Plexauridae.